GUGAAAUGCGCAGAUAUCAGGAGGAACACCGGUGGCGAAGGCGGUGUCCUGGGCCGGUCCUGACGCUGAGGAGCGAAAGCUGGGGGAGCGAACAGGAUUAGAUACCCUGGUAGUCCCAGCCGUAAACGAUGGGUGCUAGGUGUGGGAGGCUAUCGACGCUUUCCGUGCCGCAGCUAACGCAUUAAGCACCCCGCCUGGGGAGUACGGCCGCAAGGCUAAAACUCAAAGGAAUUGACGGGGACCCGCACAAGCGGCGGAGCAUGUGGCUUAAUUCGAUGCAACGCGAAGAACCUUACCUGGGCUUGACAUCAGGGGAAGAGCCGCAGAGAUGCGGUGUCCGUAAGGGCCCCUGACAGGUGGUGCAUGGCUGUCGUCAGCUCGUGCCGUGAGGUGUUGGGUUAAGUCCCGCAACGAGCGCAACCCCCGUCUUUAGUUGCCAGCGGGUAAUGUCGGGGACUCUAGAGAGACUGCCGGCGUAGAGCCGGAGGAAGGUGGGGAUGACGUCAAGUCAUCAUGCCCCUUAUGUCCAGGGCUGCACACAUGCUACAAUGCCGGCCACAAUGGGCUGCGACCCUGCAAGGGUGAGCGAAUCCCAAAAAAGUCGGCCAAGUUCGGAUUGGGGUCUGCAACUCGACCCCAUGAAGUCGGAGUCGCUAGUAAUCGCGGAUCAGCAACGCCGCGGUGAAUACGUUCCCGGGUCUUGUACACACCGCCCGUCACACCACGAAAGUUGGCAACACCCGAAGCCGGUGGCCUAACCCGCAAGGGAGGGAGCCGUCGAAGGUGGGGUCGGCGAUUGGGGUGAAGUCGUAACAAGGUAACCGU
RNAcentral lists this ribosomal RNA (825 nucleotides) under uncultured bacterium. Its description in RNAcentral is "bacterial SSU rRNA". It matches the Rfam family "Bacterial small subunit ribosomal RNA", at positions 681 to 1503 of the family's 1533-position model. The record is from RNAcentral.